AGAGGGUGCAAGCGUUAAUCGGAAUUACUGGGCGUAAAGGGUGCGUAGGUGGUUUGAUAAGUUGGGUGUGAAAGUCCUGGGCUUAACCUGGGGAUUGCGCUUAAUACUGUUGAGCUAGAGUACUGUAGAGGAAGGUGGAAUUUCCGGUGUAGCGGUGAAAUGCGUAGAUAUCGGAAGGAACAUCAGUGGCGAAGGCGACUUUCUGGACAGAUACUGACACUGAGGCACGAAAGCAUGGGGAGCAAACAGGAUUAGAUACCCUGGUAGUCCAUGCUGUAAACGAUGAGGACUGGCUGUUGGGUGCCUAGAGCACUUGGUAGCGAASUAACGCGUUAAGUUCUCCGCCUGGGGAGUACGGUCGCAAGAUUA
This 369-nucleotide ribosomal RNA is filed under the name uncultured Pseudomonadota bacterium. Its description in RNAcentral is "bacterial SSU rRNA". It matches the Rfam family "Bacterial small subunit ribosomal RNA", at positions 527 to 896 of the family's 1533-position model. The record is from RNAcentral. Lineage: Bacteria; Pseudomonadati; Pseudomonadota.